This 1371-nucleotide ribosomal RNA is filed under the name uncultured bacterium. Its description in RNAcentral is "16S ribosomal RNA". It matches the Rfam family "Bacterial small subunit ribosomal RNA", at positions 30 to 1381 of the family's 1533-position model. The record is from RNAcentral.
UGAACGCUGGCGGCGUGCCUAAUACAUGCAAGUCGAGCGAACGGACGAGAAGCUUGCUUCUCUGAUGUUAGCGGCGGACGGGUGAGUAACACGUGGAUAACCUACCUAUAAGACUGGGAUAACUUCGGGAAACCGGAGCUAAUACCGGAUAAUAUUUUGAACCGCAUGGUUCAAAAGUGAAAGACGGUCUUGCUGUCACUUAUAGAUGGAUCCGCGCUGCAUUAGCUAGUUGGUAAGGUAACGGCUUACCAAGGCAACGAUGCAUAGCCGACCUGAGAGGGUGAUCGGCCACACUGGAACUGAGACACGGUCCAGACUCCUACGGGAGGCAGCAGUAGGGAAUCUUCCGCAAUGGGCGAAAGCCUGACGGAGCAACGCCGCGUGAGUGAUGAAGGUCUUCGGAUCGUAAAACUCUGUUAUUAGGGAAGAACAUAUGUGUAAGUAACUGUGCACAUCUUGACGGUACCUAAUCAGAAAGCCACGGCUAACUACGUGCCAGCAGCCGCGGUAAUACGUAGGUGGCAAGCGUUAUCCGGAAUUAUUGGGCGUAAAGCGCGCGUAGGCGGUUUUUUAAGUCUGAUGUGAAAGCCCACGGCUCAACCGUGGAGGGUCAUUGGAAACUGGAAAACUUGAGUGCAGAAGAGGAAAGUGGAAGUCCAUGUGUAGCGGUGAAAUGCGCAGAGAUAUGGAGGAACACCAGUGGGCGAAGGCGACUUUCUGGUCUGUAACUGACGCUGAUGUGCGAAAGCGUGGGGAUCAAACAGGAUUAGAUACCCUGGUAGUCCACGCCGUAAACGAUGAGUGCUAAGUGUUAGGGGGUUUCCGCCCCUUAGUGCUGCAGCUAACGCAUUAAGCACUCCGCCUGGGGAGUACGACCGCAAGGUUGAAACUCAAAGGAAUUGACGGGGACCCGCACAAGCGGUGGAGCAUGUGGUUUAAUUCGAAGCAACGCGAAGAACCUUACCAAAUCUUGACAUCCUUUGACAACUCUAGAGAUAGAGCCUUCCCCUUCGGGGGACAAAGUGACAGGUGGUGCAUGGUUGUCGUCAGCUCGUGUCGUGAGAUGUUGGGUUAAGUCCCGCAACGAGCGCAACCCUUAAGCUUAGUUGCCAUCAUUAAGUUGGGCACUCUAAGUUGACUGCCGGUGACAAACCGGAGGAAGGUGGGGAUGACGUCAAAUCAUCAUGCCCCUUAUGAUUUGGGCUACACACGUGCUACAAUGGACAAUACAAAGGGCAGCGAAACCGCGAGGUCAAGCAAAUCCCAUAAAGUUGUUCUCAGUUCGGAUUGUAGUCUGCAACUCGACUACAUGAAGCUGGAAUCGCUAGUAAUCGUAGAUCAGCAUGCUACGGUGAAUACGUUCCCGGGUCU